UAUUAAAAGCCAAUAAACUCGUUGAUUUUUGGUUUGUUGAUUGAGAGAGAGAGAGAGAGAGAGAGAUGGAAAACAAGUAAAGGGAAUGUUAAAACUAGAUCUAUAACAACUCUCUGUCCUUUUUAAUUCAGUUGAUGCAUGUUUAAGGCAUGUCAAAUCUUGGAAAUUGCCUGCUUACAAUUUACAAACCAUACCCUCUUUAGGAUCAACUGGA
This 214-nucleotide long non-coding RNA is filed under the name Actinidia chinensis (golden kiwifruit). Its description in RNAcentral is "long non-coding RNA (ACHI_LNC000487)". The record is from RNAcentral. Lineage: Eukaryota; Viridiplantae; Streptophyta; Magnoliopsida; Ericales; Actinidiaceae.